Molecule: ribosomal RNA, 394 nt
Filed under: uncultured bacterium
Lineage: Bacteria
Description: bacterial SSU rRNA
Rfam family: Bacterial small subunit ribosomal RNA
Source: RNAcentral
UAUUGGGCAAUGGGCGCAAGCCUGACCCAGCAACGCCGCGUGAAGGAAGAAGGCUUUCGGGUUGUAAACUUCUUUUAAGAGGGAAGAGCAGAAGACGGUACCUGACUAAGAAGCCCCGGCUAACUACGUGCCAGCAGCCGCGGUAAUACGUAGGGGGCAAGCGUUAUCCGGAUUUACUGGGUGUAAAGGGAGCGUAGACGGAUAAGCAAGUCUGAUGUGAAAAUCCGGGGCCCAACCCCGGAAUUGCAUUGGAAACUGCAUAUCUAGAGUGUCGGAGAGGCAAGUGGAAUUCCUGGUGUAGCGGUGAAAUGCGUAGAUAUCAGGAGGAACACCAGUGGCGAAGGCGGCUUGCUGGACGAUGACUGACGUUGAGGCUCGAAAGCGUGGGGAGCAA